AUAAGUUCAAAUACAGUAUCUGAGGGGGAUUGGUUCCAGAACCUCCUGCAGAUACCCAAAUCCAGAAUAGUGCAGAAAGGUGUAUACUAAACAACAUUUGGAAGAAGAAAAACCUGGCAUCAUUCUGAGAAAGUAUUUUCUCUAACUCUGAGCAUGCAGUUAAUUCUAUGGAUAAACUGAAAGGAACAGGAUGGAUAUUGGACAGCUUCCCUGCUUUUCUA
This 221-nucleotide long non-coding RNA is filed under the name Homo sapiens (human). RNAcentral describes it as "non-protein coding lnc-UNC5D-1:2". Lineage: Eukaryota; Metazoa; Chordata; Mammalia; Primates; Hominidae. The record is from RNAcentral.